UCUCCCGCCCUGUCCUUGCUGGUCCCUGCGCAGCGCCAACUUUCUGCUUCUAAGGGCCUCCUUCCGCAACACCAGCUCUAGUAUCUUUCCGGGUGAUAAAUUUGUUAAUCAGAAUCGAUUAACCGACGUCCUUGACAUACAUCCAGGGUCAGAAUAUUGAACCACUAUGCAUUCGACAUUGGUAGCAGUCAGAAAAAGAGUCUUUUUCUGAGCAGAUGACAAUGAAAUACAGCAGCUCCCACCCGGUCUUCCGCAGAGACUGCUCAGGGUUGAACAAGUGCAGAUUGCCAUAUUGACAUGAAGCCUAAUGGGUGUGAAAUCUGUUUUCUUUUGGGAGGCUCAGGAACCAAAUCCAAGAAGUCUGCCUACUCUUCCUUCUCCCCAGUAGCAUUUUGGAAACUGGCUUUGAUGUGGUCAGGACAAAACAGGAACAAAUGGCCUUACCAGACUCACCAGGCACCCGCCUGUCGAGGGAGCAUUGUUUGACAGACAAGGUAGAAGGGUGACACCUCUGGGACACCGUUGCUCAUGGACCACAGAUGGCGCGCAGAAGUGCUCUGCUCUUUCUCUAGACCACCUGGCUUCAAAACAGCACUAACCUAUCAUUUGCUGUUUGAAGUCACCUCCAUCAUGGACUUCUCUCUGUUUGUCUCCUCCACUAUCCUGGACUCUGUCCCGAGCAUCUGGAACCCAGCCUACCGAGUUCAAUCAGAUCCCCAUCUUUCAUUUCAGUAGUCCUUCAGGUCACAGCUGUUUGUGGAGUGAAUGACUGAAGGAAAUGUGGAAGGGGGAGGCGGGUCAGGUAACAUUGUUAUCACUCCUCUCACCCUAUAAUCAAGAAUCUGAGCCAGGUGCUGUGGCACACACCUGUAAUCCCAGGGGCUCAGGAGGCUGAGG
Marmota flaviventris (yellow-bellied marmot) is the source of this 897-nucleotide long non-coding RNA. RefSeq lists it as uncharacterized. The record is from RefSeq and is a predicted model, not a curated record. Lineage: Eukaryota; Metazoa; Chordata; Mammalia; Rodentia; Sciuridae.